Molecule: long non-coding RNA, 40307 nt
Filed under: Solanum lycopersicum (tomato)
Lineage: Eukaryota; Viridiplantae; Streptophyta; Magnoliopsida; Solanales; Solanaceae
Description: long non-coding RNA (SLYC_LNC000612)
Source: RNAcentral
CAUUUUAUUUUUCAAACAGCACCAAUGUAUUAUAAUGGAGUGUAUCAUUUAUUCUAUCAAUACAAUCCAAAAGGAUCAGUAUGGGGCAAUAUUAUUUGGGCUCAUUCAGUCUCAAAAGACUUGAUAAAUUGGAUCCAUUUAGAACCUGCAAUUUAUCCAUCCAAAAAAUUUGACAAGUAUGGUACUUGGUCUGGAUCAUCAACUAUUUUACCUAAUAACAAACCUGUUAUCAUAUACACCGGAGUAGUAGAUUCGUAUAAUAAUCAAGUCCAGAACUACGCCAUCCCGGCUAACCUAUCUGAUCCAUUUCUUCGUAAAUGGAUCAAACCUAACAACAACCCGUUGAUCGUCCCUGAUAACAGUAUCAAUAGAACUGAGUUUCGCGAUCCAACUACAGCUUGGAUGGGCCAAGAUGGGCUUUGGAGGAUUUUAAUAGCAAGUAUGAGAAAACAUAGAGGGAUGGCAUUGUUGUAUAGAAGUAGAGAUUUUAUGAAAUGGAUCAAAGCCCAACAUCCACUUCAUUCAUCUACUAAUACUGGAAAUUGGGAGUGUCCUGAUUUUUUCCCUGUAUUAUUUAAUAGUACCAAUGGUUUAGAUGUAUCGUAUCGCGGAAAAAAUGUUAAAUAUGUCCUCAAGAAUAGUCUUGAUGUUGCUAGGUUUGAUUAUUACACUAUUGGCAUGUAUCACACCAAAAUAGAUAGGUAUAUUCCGAAUAACAAUUCAAUUGAUGGUUGGAAGGGAUUGAGAAUCGACUAUGGUAAUUUCUAUGCAUCGAAGACAUUCUAUGAUCCUAGCAGAAAUCGAAGGGUUAUUUGGGGUUGGUCAAAUGAAUCCGAUGUAUUACCUGACGAUGAAAUUAAGAAAGGAUGGGCUGGAAUUCAAGGUAUUCCGCGACAAGUAUGGCUAAACCUUAGUGGUAAACAAUUACUUCAAUGGCCUAUUGAAGAAUUAGAAACCCUAAGGAAGCAAAAGGUCCAAUUGAACAACAAGAAGUUGAGCAAGGGAGAAAUGUUUGAAGUUAAAGGGAUCUCAGCAUCACAGGUUUCAACUUUUCCUUAUUAAACUAUAGUCUUUUAAAUAUCAUUAAUCUACUUCUUAUAUGUAUAAUCAAUGUAUAACUAUUAUAUCAAAUGCACAUGAUCGAUUGAUUAUACAUUUGCUAUAUAUAUAUCUCUAUUAUAUCAAUUGCACUGUCUCAUCUUGCAUUUCUUUGAUCGUAGGCUGAUGUUGAAGUGCUGUUCUCAUUUUCAAGUUUGAACGAGGCCGAACAAUUUGAUCCUAGAUGGGCUGACCUAUAUGCCCAAGACGUUUGUGCCAUUAAGGGUUCGACUAUCCAAGGUGGGCUUGGACCAUUUGGGCUUGUGACAUUAGCUUCUAAAAACUUAGAAGAAUACACACCUGUUUUCUUCCGAGUGUUCAAGGCUCAAAAAAGUUAUAAGAUUCUCAUGUGCUCAGAUGCUAGAAGGUUUGUUUCUUCAAUCCAAUUAAUUGUAAUGAUCGAAGUUCACAUCUUCUCCAAAUUGAGUAAAUCGAGAAUUAUAAUGACCCGACUUUGAUAUCAUGAUAAGAAAUGCAUUUACUUAUAGAUCGCCCGUUAGUGUCAUUAAAAAACUCUAACCUUGUUUAGGUUUUUUUUUUUUUUAAUUAAUGAGCAGAUCUUCCAUGAGACAAAAUGAAGCAAUGUACAAGCCCUCAUUUGCUGGAUAUGUAGAUGUAGAUUUAGAAGACAUGAAGAAGUUAUCUCUUAGGAGUUUGGUAAGUUUUGCUUUCACAAUUUUUAUUUAUUUAUAAUUUAUUUGAUCAAAACUUUCAAGAUUCGAUUAAUUUGAAGAGUAACGAUUUGUGUUUGACUAAUCAAUUUGUAUCAUAUGCAUAUUUUUUUUUAGAUUGAUAACUCAGUAGUGGAAAGUUUCGGUGCUGGUGGCAAAACAUGCAUAACAUCAAGGGUGUAUCCAACUUUAGCGAUUUAUGAUAAUGCACAUUUAUUUGUUUUUAACAAUGGCUCUGAGACAAUCACAAUUGAGACUCUGAAUGCUUGGAGCAUGGAUGCAUGUAAGAUGAACUAAAUAUUUUCAAAAAAAUUGGAAUUAUGUCUACAAUUAUAUAUGUCUAAAGAGACAAAAAUUGUGUUAAAUUUAACAGUAGAUGAUGUUCACAAAAAUCCUCUAUAAUUGUCUCUAAUUUAUUUUGGUGAAUUUAGAAGGCAAAGUGUGUGUAUGGAUUUUUCUAGUACCAUAUAUAUAUAUAUUAAGUAAGAAAUUUGUUAGCUUUCCUUUUUGUUUUGUAACAUAAUCAAAUGUGUGGUCUUAUGUAGAACUAAUAUUUGGUAAUAUUAGGCAAGUUGUUAUGUGACUUAUUUUAUUCAAAAAUAUAAUAAGAAGUUCAAAGAGAAGAGUACAAGUAAGUAAGUAAGCAGAGACGAAUCCUGGAUUUAAAGGGUCUGGCUAUAUUAAUGUUUUUUUAAUUUAAGCAUUAGCGAUUCGCCUUGCAAGUAAUCGAUAGGACAAAAGUUUUACCUUACUAAUUCUAUUGAGGCACCAAAUCCCUAUGAAAAAGCAUGUAAAAUAUGAGAAGACGAAAGAAUUAAAUAGGUUAUAAUUAUUGUAUAAUUUAUAACACACUUUAUGAUAAUAUUACAAAUAAGAAUAUCGAAUAUUUAAUUAAUGACGAACUAUAAAAGCAAAGAAGGAAGGAUGAGCUUCCAAAAACAAUCGCAAAUGAAUAAAGAUGCCCAAAAUAGAGUAACCUAACGAAGUCGAUACUUCCAUUCAUAAUCAAAUCUGUUCAAAAACACUUGAUGGUUUAUUUUUAACUUUAAGAGAUGUAUCAUAUCGUCUCUUAUUAUUCUUUUAGGGCUAUUCGCCGUAGGAAUAAAAUUUAUAUGAUCAAAUUUCACGUUAUAUAAAUAAUGUGAAGAAAAAACUUAUACUUUUCAAGGUAACAAGAAAUCAUGUUUUUUUUACGCCUUCGUGGAGACUACUUCCUCGUAACAAAAAAUUAACAUUUUAAGUGGCGACUCUAAAAACUCGUGGCCAGUAUAUUAGUCGCCAUUAAACAUUAUUUUUAAUCAUGAGUUCUUUUCUUUUUUAAUCUUUUUUUAAGGUCAAAUUUACCACUUUAUCUUAUUUAUUUAAAUUGAAAAAUCCCAAAUUUUGCAUUAUUUUUUUGAAUUCCUUUUUUUUUUACACACUCAAAAAGUCAAAACAUUAAAAAAACGAAAUAGCAAAUUAAAUGGCAAAAGACUUGUUCUAACAAAAAAAAAAUAGUAAAACAGACUCAUAAAAGGUAACAAUAACCAACAAAUCACACAAAAUUGUAGAUAAAUAUUAUGCAAACAAAUAAAAAUUAAUAAUCCAAUCCAUUUAUUUAUUUUUUUAAAAAAAACCUAAAUUAACUCUCCAUCUUUCAAUCAAAAACAAACUCUACCCAUUUUUUUCACUAUAAAUACUCUUCAUAAUUUUCAUUUGUUCUUCAUUCCCAUGUUUCUUUUCUCCUUAUCCAAAAAAAAAAAAAUUAAAAAAAAUUAUUUAGAUUAAAUAUCACUAUCUGUCAAAGCCCAAUCAUUAAAAUAAAAUAAAAAUUAUGGAUUAUUCAUCUAAUAAAAGUUCUCGUUGGGCUUUGCCAGUUAUCUUAGUUUGCUUUUUUGUAAUUUUAUUAUCCAAUAAUGUUGUUUUUGCUUCUCAUAAAGUUUUUAUUCACUUGCAAUCUCAAAAUGCUGUAAAUGUUCAUACUGUUCAUCGAACUGGUUAUCAUUUUCAGCCCGAAAAACAUUGGAUCAAUGGUAUGUUUAUUCCUUUUUUUCGUCUUUUUUUAUAUAUAUAUAUAAUAAAACGAACAUGUUGUGUUUAGUCUAGAUUUAAUACUAGUGAUUUUUUUGACGCUAACAAAUAAUCGAGUACUCACCAUUUGUCAAUAGAUACAUUGACAUGUAUUAGUAUGAUUUUCGUCUUUUUUCGUUGUUUCUAAUAUUAUUUAAUCUUCACUAAUUUUUUUUAUUUUUCUUUGAAUGAUGUCUCUUGGUCAAAACAUACAAUAGAUCCCAAUGGUAAGUUAACUAUAUUUUUGUAUAUUUUUUAAAUUUAUUUUAUUCUUAUUAUAUAAUAUAGGGAAAAAAGGAUAAAUAUAUCCCCGAACUAUUAUAAAUAGUAUGCACCAGUAUCCUCUGUUAUACUUUAGAGACAUUUUUGCCGUCAAAAAACUAGAACACAUAUAUCCUUUAUUUAUCCCGAUAUCGAAUCGAUUGUACCACGAGUGAAGGGUAUAGCUCUAGUUUUUGGACGGUAGGGCACCUAAAGUAUGACGAAGAAUAUCUGCAAACCAUUUACAAUAGUUUUGGAUAUAUUUGUGAACUAAUGAUGUUUGAAUUCUUUUUUCAUAGCACCAAUGUAUUUCAAUGGAGUGUAUCAUCUAUUCUACCAGUACAACCCAAAUGGUUCAGUAUGGGGUAACAUUGUUUGGGCUCAUUCCGUUUCAAAAGACUUGAUCAAUUGGAUCAAUUUAGAACCUGCAAUUUACCCAUCAAAGCCAUUUGAUCAAUUCGGUACCUGGUCUGGAUCAGCAACCAUCCUACCUGGUAACAAGCCAGUCAUCUUGUACACCGGAAUCAUAGAUGCCAACCAAACCCAAGUCCAAAACUACGCAAUCCCAGCUAACUUAUCCGAUCCAUAUCUCCGCGAAUGGAUCAAGCCAGACAACAACCCAUUAAUUAUAGCCGAUGAAAGUAUCAACAAGACCAAGUUUCGUGACCCAACAACAGCAUGGAUGGGUAAAGACGGGCAUUGGAGAAUCGUCAUGGGAAGUUUGAGGAAACACAGCAGGGGCUUAGCUAUAAUGUAUAGGAGCAAAGACUUUAUGAAAUGGGUCAAGGCUAAACACCCACUUCACUCAACUAACGGCACUGGAAACUGGGAAUGCCCUGAUUUUUACCCAGUUUCAUCGAAAGGUACUGAUGGGUUGGAUCAAUACGGUGAGGAACACAAGUACGUGCUGAAGAACAGUAUGGAUCUUACUCGAUUUGAGUAUUAUACACUUGGAAAAUACGAUACGAAAAAAGAUAGGUACGUUCCAGAUCCAGAUUCUGUCGAUAGUUUGAAGGGAUUGAGACUCGAUUACGGUAACUUCUACGCAUCGAAGUCAUUCUACGAUCCAAGCAAAAAUCGAAGGGUUAUCUGGGGUUGGUCUAAUGAAUCAGAUAUAUUCCCAGAGGAUGAUAAUGCGAAGGGAUGGGCUGGGAUUCAAUUGAUUCCUCGUAAAGUAUGGCUUGAUCCAAGUGGUAAGCAGUUGGUUCAAUGGCCUGUGGAGGAACUAGAAACCCUAAGAACUCAAAAGGUUCAAUUGAGCAACAAGAAGAUGAACAAUGGGGAGAAGAUUGAAGUUACAGGAAUCACACCAGCACAGGUAUAUAUAUAGACUUUUUUAUUUUUAAUUUAUUAUUAUUAUUAUUAUUACUCUCUCCGUUUUCAAAAAAAAAAUAUCCCUAUUUUCUUUUAUAGUCUCUUUAAUUUAAAAAGAAUGAUCUAUUUUCUUUUUGGAUAACCUUUUAACUUUGAUUUUUCACGUGAAAUGUUUAAAAUCACGAGAUUAAAGAGCAUUUUGGUUACAUUUGACAUAACUGAAAUUUAGAAACACAAGAUUAAAGGACAUUUUGGUACAUUUGACAUAACUUGAAUUUAAAACCACAUAAUUAAAGGGCAUUUUGGUACAUUUGAAUUAGAACAUUUUGAUACAUUUGACAUAACAUGAAUUUAGAACCACAAGAUUAAAAAAUCUUCUUUCUUUUUUCUUAAAUUUCGUUCCAAGUCAAAUUAGGUCAUUCUUUUUUAAUUACUCCCUCCGUCUAAUUUUAUGUAACAACAUUUGACCGGACGGAGAGUUUUAAGAAAUAAAUAAAACACUUUGAGAUGUGUACCAAAUUGCUCUCCAAAAAUACUCACUUUUCUCUCUCCUCAUAAAUGUAUUUGAGUACUAUUUUUAAAAUUAAGCGAGUCCAACAAGAAUAAAAUAGAAACUGUACUUUUAAAUAUUUACCAUAUAAAAAAAUGUGAUUUUUUUUUUUUGAAAACUGAUCAAAAAGAAAAUGAUAUCACUCGACGAUGAAAGUGUUUAAUAAUGAAAAAACAUGACAGGCUGAUGUUGAAGUGACAUUCUCAUUUGCAAGUUUGGAUAAGGCAGAGUCAUUUGAUCCUAAAUGGAAUGAUAUGUAUGCACAAGAUGUUUGUGGACUCAAGGGUGCAGAUGUUCAAGGUGGGCUUGGGCCAUUUGGUCUUGCUACAUUAGCUACUGAAAACUUGGAAGAAAACACACCGGUUUUCUUCCGAGUUUUCAAAGCACAGCAAAACUACAAGGUUCUCUUGUGUUCUGACGCUAAAAGGUACUACUUAUUGAAUUUUUAACUUGUUGGUAACGUUUUCGACGGUAUAAUAUCGAGAAGUUGAGAAAUUGACAAAUCUUUUGUUUUAUGUCUGAUAGGUCAACUCUUAAGUUCAAUGAAACAAUGUACAAAGCUUCAUUUGCUGGAUUUGUUGAUGUUGAUUUGGCUGACAAGAAAUUGUCACUCAGAAGCUUGGUAACUUCUCUUUCUAUCGUUAAUCAAAAAUCUAAACGAACAUUUGAAUCUAAACUAUUGAAAUUCUUUUUGUAGAUUGAUAAUUCAGUUAUAGAAACUUUUGGUGCUGGUGGAAAGACAUGUAUAACAUCGAGGGUUUAUCCAACAUUGGCAAUUAACGACGAGGCACAUUUAUUCGCGUUUAACAACGGAACGGAGCCAAUCACAAUUGAGAGUUUGGAUGCAUGGAGUAUGGGCAAAGCUAAGAUACAAUAUUGAAGAAAAAAAAAAGAAUAAGGAGAAAGGAACUAUGGUAAAAGGGGGAAAUAUGAGAUUUUGAUGGACAUAUAAGAGUUUGUUAUUUUGAUAUUUCAACUCUAUUUUUUUUGUUUAUCAAAUUAGAUAUCCCUCGAGUCAAAAAAAAUGUAUAUAGAUUUAUCCUCUAUUUUCAAUUUAUGACAAUAAUGCUAUGUUUUUGCUUUCAAAAUUGUUGUUUUCGUUAUAUUAUUUGUUCAAUCGUGUAUUUAUUUUAUUGAUAUAUCUUUUAAAUUUUAAAUUUUAAUAUUUUAUUUUAUUAUUAUAUUUACAUAGCUACAGAAUGGUCUAACAAAUAAAAGAAGUUUGUCAUUGAAAGGAAAUAAUUGGUUAAAUCUUAUCUGAAAAAUAGUUUCAGAUUAUUUUUUAACAUAGUUUUAUUUUUCAGAUAACAUAGUUUGAGAUAAUGUUAAAUAAUAUGAUGUUGCAUUGGGUAUUUCCUGGAUAAAUAAUUCAUCUUUUGUUUCUACAGAGUUAAAUAAAAAUAGCAACCAUCUUAUUUUGAAGAAAGUGUUUUAAUAUUUUUUCGUUCAAUUGUUUUUUCCAACUAAAUAAAUUGUAUAACAAGAAGAAGCUCAAAUGGACAAAAUUUGUUUCUGAUAAAUUGUAUUCAAACAAAAGUACAAUUAGUGCUUUUUAGAGAAUCCAGUUCCGGCGGAAGAUUAAGUAAGGUGCGGUAUAAAGACCAAUCAAUUUCCUACAACAGACAAUAGAGGGCUCUGACGUGACCACGGUCAAUGAGACUAUUGUUCUGAUUCUAUAGAGUCUAACCUUGAAAAGAAAAGACUCGUUGUUUUUAAGCCUGGUCCAGGUGUGGGAGCUAUACUUGAUAUACAAGUCGACUCGUGAACUACGGAGUACUCCAAAUGUUUUACCAAACAGAAGAACAAUGGGCAAACACCAAUCCUGAGAAGUGGUAAAAUCUACAAAACAUUGAAAGGUAUAAAAUGUUUGGUAAGUCAGAAUACAUUAGCAUAAAUAUUGGAGCUCACAGAGUCAUUUGCUGACUCUUGCAUAUACAUAAUUCCUCCUUAUCAUUAACAAAGUAGAAAUAAAUAUGAUAUAUACUAUGAAAACACAAAUAAGUCAAACAAAAAAAAAGAGAUGAACUUUGUAAUGAAUGGACACAGAAAACUGAUCUGUUGCUGUUGCUCAGACAGACGAAACAUGUUGCCUCAGCUGUGUCGAAAAAAAAGAAACAAGAUGAUGUGGGAACAAAGGUUCUUGAAUUAUGUUGGCAAGUCAGAAUAUCAAUAAGCCUCAGAAGUUUUAGCUCAUUGGGGAAAAAACCCUGGCACAUCUAAUAGACUCAUCAUUCUUGCCAUAAAUUGAAUUACCAAAGUGUAUUAGCAGAUCACCUACACACAAAAAAUACACCAGGAAGAAAGAAAGAGUGGAAACAAAUACAUUAUGGAUGCACAAUAUCAAAAGAGAAAGCUCAGAAUAUCAAUAAGCAGUUAGUGUAAACAUUCAACAGGGAGUUCUCCCUUCACACAACAGAUAUUCAUCAUUCCCAUACCUACCUAAAAUUAACUAUAAAUGCCAAAAGAAGCCAAAUUAUAUAUUUAAUAAUAAUUUACAUCAAAAUCUUCUGUUAGUAAUGUUAAUAAUGAACUUUUAUAGUCAUAGUUAGGUCCAACAAAAAUUAAGGGAUCAAUGAACACCAUGUAAAUCAAAAAAUAAAAGAGUGAAUCACAAAUGCAAGUCAGAAUAUCAAUAAGCCUCGAUGAUUGAGCUCAUAGAGGAAUUCACCACUCGCACAUCUAAUUGUUUUUCAUCAUGCUUGCCAUAGCAAAGGCUAAAUAUAGCACAAAUUCCACCUCAACUAGAAAAAAGUAGAAUCAACAACGGAUGUGACACCACAAAAAGUAUGGGCUAUAUCCUGACGUGUAACUUCAGUUAAGGUCUAAAUCAGAUAAAUAUUUCAACUUAACAAUUUGCUACAACUUCAAGUGAAAAAUUAGUACAAAUGCAAUAAUGAAGCAUAUUUGUAGAACACAAAAUUAAAAAGUUCCAUUUAUUUCUAUUGUAAGUACUUUAAGAAGGCAAGUCAGAAUAUCAAUAAGCCUCGAUGAUUGAGCUCAUAGAGGAAUACACCACUCACACAUCUAAUAGUUUAUCAUCAUUCUUGCCAUAGCAAAGUUAUGUUAUGAAUAUAAAUAGAAAUAUACUGCAAACCACAUCUAAAUUAGGGAGAUUCAAAGCAUCUUUUGUUGGAACAAAAAGAUAGCAACUUUCAUUUUCAACAGUGACAAAUUAUUCAAACACACAAAUGCUUAAUUUUCAAAGCUGAAAUUUUGUCUUAGAACAAAUAGAAAGUACUACAUAAGACAAGUCAGAAUAUCAAUAAGCCUCGAUGGUUGAGCUCACAGAGGAAUUCACCACUCGCACAUCUAAUUGUUUUUCAUCUUUCUUGACAUUACACAACAAUAUUAAUAACAGAACUAGAAAGAUAAUGCACAUACCACCACAAAAAAAGCUCCACAGAAACCAAUAAACUUUACAAUCUCAUAUCAUUAAGAUAGAAACAAGGAGCAUAGCCCCAAAACUCCAAAAAUUGGCACAAUGGUCAUAUAAGGUGGCACCUUUCUAAUUUCAAACUAACUUAAAUUCUUAUCCAAGUCCUAAAAACAAAAAUUCAAAGGACUUCUCUUUUUCCUAAAUCGAAAAGAAAGUAGUUCUUAAAGGCAAGUCAGAAUAUCAAUAUGCCUCGAUGUUUAAGCUCAUAGAGGAAUUCACCCCUCGCACAUCUAAUUGUUUCCAAUCAUUCUUGCCAUACAAAAACAAAUAUACUUUAAAAAGAACCUGUUUGCAAUAUAAUCUAUACACUGCAUCAACAAGAGACAUUCCAAGUAUAUGUGUUUCCAUAACACAAAAGAUACACAACACUUCAAAAUUCCAAAACAACUCAACUAGAACAUUCCAAUUUAGCCACAGUGACAAACAUAUGCAACCAAACAAAUGGUAAAAACUAAAUUGAGACAACAAACUUCAAAAGAAUUCCUAUAUUUAAAAUCGAAAGUACUUCAUAAAGGCAAGUCAGAAUAUCAAUAAGCCUCGAUGAUUGAGCUCAUAGAGGAAUUCAACUCUCACACAUCUAAUUUUGUUUUCAUCACUCUUGCCAUAAGAACAAGGAAAUAUAAUAAACAAAAAUCACAAAAUAAUGUACACCCCACCUCAACUAGAGCCAUUCAAAACAUCUUUUGGUUCUAUAUCCCCAAUUGGGAAAGACAAAACCAAAAAAAAAGGAUAUGACUCCUGAAAUAAGGCGAGGCAAAAGGAGACUCACUAAAGGAAAACCCUAAAGAGAAAACUCCAGCAUAUAACACACCUUUCAUAUAUACAAUUGUACAUACAAAAGAGUGUGCAUAUAUACAAUUAAUAUAGCGCAGCUAUGACUCAAAACGCUUCCAUGGAGCAUAAUGGAAGGCGAUCUUAAGGGCGGCGCAAAAUGAAACAAAUUAAUCCAUACACAACACACUUUGUUAUAUAGCUCCAAUCGAUCAAAAUGUUGCAACAUAUUCCAAAAAUCACAUCUUUAAGAGAAAUUAAUGCAUACCCAAUAGCAUUUUGAUCAAUCCACGCAUCAUACACACUUCACAUACAAAAAAAACAAUUUUUAAGAAAAACCACUACACACCCAACUGCAUUUUGGACAACCAAAGCAACAUAAAAGCAAAACCCCUAAAAUUCAUGUAAAAAUUUUCGGUUUAUAACAUAAUUUUGAGUUUACCAGUCACGAUAAUCAACUGCAACAGAGAAACACAGCUGACUAAGUUGAAAAUGGCAAAUAAUUAUAGGGUAUUAUAACUUCCACUGUUAGCAAACUAAAUUGCAUAAGAGGUUUCAGUUAUUAACCCAUUAAAACAUGAAAUCAAAAAGAGGAAAAACACCAUACACGAAGAAAUUCAAUACGAUAAGCAAUGAAGAAGAAACUCACAAAGAUUCGGCUACAUUGGGGAUUGAUCCCCAAAUUAUUGAAGUGAAAAAUAGAGAUUUAUAGACUCAACAAUUAGGGUUUUAGCAUAGGAUUAAUGGGCUAAAGAGUGAAUGGACCUACAUAUUGCUGGUUGGGCCGAAGAGAUCUGUAUAGGCCCAAAUUGAAGAUCCAUUUCUUGCAAAAAAAAAACAAAGAAAUCUUUUAAUAAAGAGAAAACUUCAAAUGUGUCAUCGAACUUUGAGAAAAAGAUUCAUGUACAUCAAUCGUUAAAAGUUUAGUUUAUUUAUGUCAUUUUUCUUUUUAUAAAAAAAAUUUAUCCAUGUCAUUAUUUGUUACCUAAAAACAGUUUUGAUUUUGCAAAAUUAUCUUUUACAUGUGAUAUGGAUGACAUUAAUUAAAUCACGUUUUAAAAAGGACAAAAACUCAAGCAUGUCAUCAAACUUAUAAAAAAAAAAAGAUUCAUUUAUGUCAUUUUAAAAAAAAAUUGAUUCAUAUAUAUCAUUUCAAUUAACAAAUAAUGAUAUGAAUGAUGAGUCAAAUUUUUAAUACGAUGACAUAUUUGAGUCUUUCCUCUUCAAGUAAAUAAUGCAUGUAAAAGUUGUUUUUACUAGUCUUUAAUAUAAGACUUCCUAAUUUUCCAAUUUGUUAUUGAAAGGUAUCUUUUUAUUUCAAACAUAGCUUGUUUCAAAAUACUAUUUGGGGGUUAAACUUUAUUCCAUGUUUUACUUUGAAAUAAUAGUUAAUCUUUGAAUGAUUUUAUUCAAAUAUUUAUACUAAAAUUGUAUAAUUUCAAAAUCUCAAUUUCAUCUUUAUAAAUUUCGACUAUACAACGUCCUGAAAACAGUUGUUUAUGCAAUUCGUUUUAUCAAGUAUAUAUCCAUAAUGAAAUAAAGCUUUAUAACUAACAGAAUUGUGAAGAUAAAAAGAGUAUAAAUUUAUCCAACAAUUAGCCUGCAUAAACCAAAUUUAAGAGAACUUAACUAUCUCGAAAAGCUGGCAAACUCAAAAUGAAGGUGGUUUCGAAACCAAAAGUGCUCAACUACAGAGUGUUCAGAAAUCAAAUGUAAAUAGAUAUCGAAAGCUGCAUUUUUCGACAACAAUAUUUUCCUCCAAUUUGCAACAUGCUGCAGAAAAGAGAAAGAGUCUUCACAGCCUCCUUCCCCUUCUACCACCCUUUCUGCGAGUACUAUCGGUGGGAAUUGGAGUAACAUCCUCUGCAAAAUAUAUAGGAAGAAUUACUUAAAAGUGAUGACAUAACAAUGAUACAACAGAUUAUAUGGAGCAUAUUACGAGAACUUUGCCAUGAUACGAUACUGAUGCAAGAGAGAAAAGCUUAUGUACCUAUACGUCCAAUUUUCAUGCCAGAACGAGCCAAAGCUCUAAGAGCGGACUGGGCACCAGGACCAGGAGUCUUGGUCUUGUUGCCUCCUGUAGCUCGGAGCUUAAUGUGAAGAGCAUUAAUUCCAAGUUCCUGUAAAUCAAAAGUUCAUAAAUAAUAUUUUAAAAGAUUAACAAGUGAUGACGAGACCUAGUGACAUCAGACUAGAUGGAUAAAGAUGGACGUAUCCGAGCUUGAGUCUUAAAUAUAGUGUAGCUAUAUUUAGACUCUGAAUAAAUGGCAUAGCAUGGAACCCAUUAACAAUGAUUCUGACCACCAUUCCGAAACCUUGACGCUUAAAUAGAAUCUGAAGCACACAUUUUUCCAUAGUUCAAGCACCACCAGCGAUUAUGCAACUGUUAGUGGUAAAAGUGUCCGAAAAUUGAAGGUGCACACAUCACUUCAGAAUGGAAUCUUCCAUAACAAAGCCUAAUAGAUCCAAACCGGUGACAUAAAAUCUACGGGUCUCUACAAUAUGUUCGAAGGAAUGGCAUUUAUUCCAAUCAAUUAUACACAAAUUUUUUAUUGUUAAGCAAAAGUAAGAUGCAUCAGGCAUAUGGAACCCAAAAACAAUCUUAUAGACCAUCUACAUCCUAGCAAGAAACAUAGAUAGGAGUAAAGGCCAUCAUGUACAUUAUAAGAUCUUCGAAUGUCUAGUCGGCAGAAUUAUUGGCUUUAGCACACAUUCAGAAAAGGGAGGCAUCAGAAGAUCCAAAAGGUCUUAAAUUUCGAAACUGCUAAAUUUUAUCUACAAAGCAACACUCUACACUUAUAGAAGAGCUAUGUAAUUUGGCACCUAUAUUACUGGUCAAUGCAAGAAAGGAUAAAUCCCUGCACCAACAUGGAAUGCAACAUCCAGGAGAACUAAACAUUACAUCAAUAUCCAGUGAAAUUAGUAUAGUGACUUUCUUCAGAAAUAAAAUCUAAUAUUAAUCUCUGUGAACAGUACCAUAUAGGCAAAAAGUCUUCAUUUUUUUCGUUCAUACAUAAAUGGUUUAUAUUGAUAUAGACCUGAACUAGACCAACUUUAUAUCUGAUGAGCUUAACUAACAAUUAAGUAGAAUUAAGGAAAUUGACUUUAUCAGAACCAAACAAGACACUACCUUGCAUCGCUGUGACACAUCCUGAGCUGCAAGCAUAGCAGCAUACGGAGAAGACUCAUCUCUGUCAGCCUUCACCUUCAUUCCACCUGCAACAAAAAUGUAUAACAAUUUGAGAUGAAAGGCUUCUCCAUACCAUUACGACAUCAACAACUAAGAUUAAACUCCACACUAGACGGAACCUCUAUACCCAUUUUCCUUCUUCCUAGAAGGAUUAUAUUCUAAUACCAAUAAUUUGCUGCCUCAACCAUAUCAAGGAUUCCCUAAAACUAUAGAUGCUCUACAUUCUUGAUUUCCCUAAAACUAUAGAUGCUCUACAUUUCCUACCACUUACAUUCAUCUAUAUUGAAAAAGUAAAUAUAUGUCUAUCCAAUAGGGAUAACAACAACAGAAUUAGCAUCCUGGAAGAAAGGCAUCUACAUUUAUACAUAAACCGAUGUUCGCAUCGAAAGCAACAAUUAUACUGCUACCAGCUAAUCAGUAACUACAAGGAUACAGUCAAAAGUAUAAAACAAUUGUUUCUAUAAGGCAUACCAGUAAUGCGAACCAUAGUUUCUCUUCCAGACAAAUCAGUAACGUGCUGCAUUCAUCACAUACACUAAGAAUCAGUAAAACACACAAAUAACAAAGCCAAAUCUACAUUUCUACAUCAAAUUUUCAAAAACCAUAACUCACUCACAAUGAAUGUAUCAUUGAACGAUGCAAAAAUGUGUGCAACACCGAACACCAAUUCACCUUCCCUCGUUGCUGGUCCAAGUGUAACAGUCUCUUCCUUAGGCUCCCUGGUCUUUCUCCUCGACUACAAACAAACAAUUUCAUCGAACAUACAGUUUUUCAAUUCAAAUUAAUCAAAUCAAACUAAAUAUAAUCGACAUAAACAGCAAAUCUUCAGUAAUGAAAUGGAAAUUUCAGCACGAGAAAUAGUACCAUGGCUUCAGCUGAGCUUGAUAGUGAGAAAAUUCAGAGAUACUCAGCAGCUUGAAGAAACCCUAAUUUGCAGUGGAAGCUCACAAAAAUGGCUGCCGCUGUUUAUAUAUUAGGGUUUGGGGAUGAGCUUUUUUCUGAUAAUAUCGAUAAUUACCCCAAUUGUUUUGAUUUGACUAUAAGUGGCCCCUCUAGUUUGGGUGAAAGUUUAUUCCUACCCCUCUUAUUGUUUUAUUGGUAAGAUUUAUCCCCCGUUAUACGAAUCGAUUAUUUUUAAUCUCGUCGAUAAUAAGCUCAACAAAUAUAUCCCUUGAUGUUUCCUCCGAUCGGGUAUUAGUAUCAAAUUUCAAGUGGAUCACCGAUAACUAAGUUUUGAUCAUCUUUCUUCUGUAACUCAAGGUAGAAUUUUUUUCAUACGCGAAGUUUGUUUCAAAUUAAUAAGGACCUGAUACAUGUUUUUGUGUAUAUACGUAAUUAUUAUGAAAUUAGUAAUUGAUUGAUAAACAUUUUCGUUUUUCAAUCAUAAAAAAGUUGUAUUAUAGUUGAUUUAUUAACAUUUUUGUUUUUCAAUCAUGAAAAUUGUGUAUGAAUUGAUCUCAUUGAUAAAUAAUCAAAUAAGGCAUGGGAAUAAGAUUUAGUGUGAAUAAUUUGUAUUGUUUUUGUUAUCAUGUCAAAAAGAAACUAAACUUGCUAUUUAAUUUGCUAAAUAUACUUUCUUUAUUAUAAUUUAUGUGACGUAAUUUAAAUUAACAAAAAAAUUAAAAAAUAAAUUAGGCUUUUGGUUUAAAAUAUAUCAUAGAGUACAAUUUUUGUAUUAUCAUUUUGUUAAAAUACAUGAUCUUAAACGUAUUAGAAUAUAUGUAUGACUAUAAAAGUUGAGAUUUGUUAAAUCUUUGCUUUAACAUAUAUAGUAAAGAUUGUGGUGCUUUGGGACAAAUUUUGCUUCCUCUUACUUUCUUUUUUCACCUAAAAUUUUUACAGUGUUCAAAUAAGUUUAUGUAUAUUUCAAUUAAUUUUGUGAUAUAUUUACUAUUUCUUAUCAAUAUAAAUAUCAAAUUAUAUUAUUUAUCAAAACUUAGACAAAUAAAAAACUAGUUAUACUGUUAUAGUAUAGAAGAAAAACAAGAUUAGAAAUUAAGUUUUUUAAAAAUCGAAAAAAAUUAUUGACAGCUGUGGGAUUUGAACCCACGCCCUUUCGGACCAGAGCCUAAAUCUGGCGCCUUAGACCACUCGGCCAAACUGUCAGAUAUGUAUUAAUUUGAAUAAUUUAUUAUUUAUAAUUAUAAUUAUCCAACAAUUACAUUAACAUGAAUUAAGAUUAAACAAAGAAGUAAAAAUUCAUAUAGCCUAACUUUCGAAAUGCAUAAUUGGUGUUAUUAUUAGUUACUCAUAAAAAGAUGAGGUGGCGAAUCAGACACUCUUUCGUCAUAUACCACAUAUAUAAAAAUGGUAUUCAGUAUAUAGGUCGAAAAUUCUGUUUCAUACAUUUAUAUCAAAUCUUGAACACAUACGCUUAACGAAAUUUCUAACACCUUCAUUGUUAAAUAGAUGAGGAGUUAUCAUCUUCAUAACCAAAGGAUAUUCUAUAUAUAAUAACUAUGCUUAUAACAAAACCAAAAUGACCAAUUAUUUUUUGUAUGAAUAUAAGUUACAAAAUGAGAAUUUGUACUUAAUCAAAUGGAUCUAUUCGAAGGUCAUGUUCACUUGCCAUCACCAUCCCAGUACACAGACAUGUAGGGCACAUUACCUAGCCAAAAAAUAUCAUAAUAUGAAACAAAAAACAUUAGCAUAUAUACGUAUACGAUAAGGGAAAGUUAUCGUAACAUGUGAUGAGAGAUGCAUGCGCGUAUUUGUGACAUGCAUCUUCUUAGAGGAACUCAUUUCGUAGGUAGCAACGAGCAAGGAUAGGAAGAAGGGGUUCAACGAACCUUGUUGUUGUUGAGGAUGUUAUUCUAACUACAAGGGAAGGCCUCAUUUUGGCCAUGUAAUGUGGACGAAUAUGACUGUUUUAUUCUUCGGUCACACAUUUUUGAGAUGCUCGACUAUGGGACGGAUUGUAACAGACACAGAUAUUUGUUUUUUCUUGUAAAGUUACUACUUAUUGAACUGAUAUAAUAUGACUGUUGAGUGCAUGAAGUAGGGAGAUGAUCAUGUUUCAUACCUUUCCAGUCCCGGAGCAAUUCGCACAUCUUUUAAGAGUUGGUGCACGCAACGAUUGAUAAGAACCAUUCACUGAAAUUGGUUCAGUAUAGAGGCAUUUACCGCUUGCUGAACAUCGUGCACAUGCCAAGUACCCUACACCAAAUCAAAUGACCAUGAAAUGAGAUUAUGGUCAGUACCAUGAACUCAAAUAAUCAAAAAAAGACACUGACUAUUGGUCGAGAGUUCAAUAGUGUAGACAUUGUGCAAUGAUAUGUAAUAAGUUUCACAUGAACAUACCACUUCCAUAGCAAUAUUUGCACUUUUUCUUCUCUUGUUGGACUACAUUGUUAGCUUCUAUUAGCAUGAGGGCUGAGAUGACUCCCACUGCCCCGCCUGAAAAGGACGCCACUAUGGGGUCGACCUGGCUGAGAAGAAGAGAAAAAGAAGUCGGUACCCAAAUUCACGAGGACGUAAGUGGUCUUCUGUUUCUAUUUUGUGACGCUCCUUUUUUGGGAAGGUAAAGAACAAUGCAGUGAACAAAUGUGCACAAUUUAAUGAUGUUUGUGAGGAACAAUUCACCGACCUUUUCUACACAUGAAAAUGUAGUUCAGGACUUCAGGUUACAGUUUACAUACCUCAAUUGCAUAGGCAAAUGCAUGUUACGUAUAAAAUCUUCGUAUGAGGUGCCUCCUAGACCUAAUUUCAGCUCAAGCUGCAAUAUCAAAGAGUUACAAUAGUCGAAAGACUUCAUCAUUCAAGAAUAGGGAAAUAAAUAACUCCAUAGUACCGUUAUGCAUAAUGCAGAACCAGAAUAAGGAUAAGGAAAUAAUUGAGUUCAUGAGCUUACUACUGGGGCAAGUAAUCCACCGAAGACCAUAAUCCCAGCUAUAAAUGAAAAGCUUGUAAGAUAAAGCUGCUUUAGUGUCUUUGGAGUCUGAUACAAACAAAAAAGGCACCAAGUAGAGAAUAAGUGUCACAAAAUGCUGAUCGACAAACAAAACAGAAUACGUCAGUUUCAUAUGAUAUAGGUCAGUUAGACAAGCUUCCAGACAUCUCAACUCAAAAGUGUUACAGCAGUGACGAAGCUUGCAAAGCUUCACAUGUAUUGUAUAUUAACUUGAGGUCGUUGUAGGAACUCAUAAAUUUGAAUCUCCGAUCCGCUAUGUUUGUCAAGUUGCUUACUUUGACAAACCAAAACAUGAAAAAAUGACUUCCCCGAAACAGCGAUUUUUGUUUAUAACUGGAUGUAUAAAACCUCCUAAGACCAAUUGAAUCCCUAGUAUACUUCAGUUGUUUACAAGAGGACUCGGCAAAUUACCAUGUUAGGAAGAAAUGGUAUCGUUGAUGGGAUAUCUGGCAUCUCAUUUUCAUCUUCACCGGUCUCACCUCUAGUGUUAGAGUUCUUUAACCUUUGUUGUAUUCUUAGCCGACGUACCUGAAAAAUUAAUCCGGAUUUUAAGAAGCUAUUUGAGAGUACAAUCCUUGGGAAAUAAUAAGUUGUUCCUUUAAGUUCCCUUAGAGGAUGUUAAGAACUUGAGAAAACUCACCUCUUCCAUAAGGAGGAAGAUUUUGUUGCGCCUGCUCCUAAUGUUAUCCUGGAUUUCUUGAAACUGCAUCUGACCAAAAUCUUGAACGGUCUCGGGUCCUUCAAUGAUGCAGAAAUUACUGUAAAAAACAUGGACCAACAUUAGUUAACUUCAAAAGAACACAAGCUUAUAGAUUAUGAGUCAAAUAACAGAAAGCAAUAUACAAUCAAUCAAAGCUUAUAGGAGUCCAACACGAGCGUAUGCUGUCUUGGAUUUCUUCAAACUGCAUCAGACCAAAAUCUCGUAUGGUCACUGGUCCGCAAGUGAUGUACAAAUCAUCAUACAAACAUGGAGCAACAUUAGUUAACUUACAAAAUACAAGUUUAUAGAUUAGGAGUCCAAAAAUAGCAAUCAAUAUAAACUCAACAAGCCACUCCUCAAUAUUAAGGAAGUUGGUCUUAGCUAUAUGAAUCUUGUGUAUCCGUUCUGCUCUACGCGUUUCCCAACAUCCAAAUGAGUUCAGUUGUGCAGACAAUUUAUACUAGUUAGAAACUAUCUUGUGCUGACCUUCAACCUAUAACAAGUCAACAACCCUACUCAAUGACCCUGACUUGAGACAGGCUAUACUCUACAAAGUUCCCACUUCCCAUACAACAGAGUCAUCAGUCCAAAAACAUCAUUCUAAAGCACUUCAUUGUAGCAAAAUACUUCAUAAUGAUCUUCUCCGCCUCAGGAACCUUAACUAUCGCAACUUGAGUAAAACAAUGCCAUUCAGUAAAGGUAAAAGUUCCUGCACCAAAUCUCCAAUAAGAACCAAAAAGGAUGUUAACCAGAUGCUAAACUUACAAACUUCUUAACAUUUAUACAGUUCCCGUUAUCCCGUAUCAUUAUUUCAGCCAUAUACAUGAUCAUGUUACUGUCAAAGGAGGAUUAAUCUGCCUCAAACCCACAUGAGUCGAGAACUUCGAGAACUCAUCAUAGUUAGUAACUACUUUUUUGCUGGUCUUCAACCUAUAGCACUCCCCAUUUACACAAACUAAAGACAGCUACGCUACCAAGUUCACAUACAGCCAGAGUAAUGAAUCCCGAAAACAUCAUUUUAGAAAAGCUAUAUGUAGCAAACUACUUCAUAAUGAUCUUUAUCAAAUCACCUACCUUAACCUUCAGAACUUCAAGCAAAACCAUGAAAAAAGAAAAAAAUUCCUUGAAACCAAAUAGUAAAGUUACAAACUUUUUAAAUAUGGAUACAGUUAGAAAAUCAAUAUAAAUGGACAUAUUAAACUUUUAAAUGAGUAUUUUGCCAUGACUUGUUCACUCCUGUUAUUUUUUUUUGUCAACCUGCUUUGGAAAUUUUUUAGCCGAGGAUCUAUCGGAAACAACCUCUCUACCUCCCAAGGUAGGGGUAAGGAGUGUGUACACUCUACCCUCGUAGACUUCACUUGUGGGUUUACACCGGUAUUUUAUUAUUGCUGUUGUUGUUUUAAAGCCUCCCAGCAAGAGGCUAAAGAAUUCACCUUUCCCAAACUCAACAAACAAAAAACUUGCCCAAUAUCUCAAACCAAACAUAAUUGUCAAGAGCAAAUCAACACUAAAAUACCAAAUUAACAAGAAAUUUGAUAACCUAACGUUGGAUUAUUAUCUCCAAAAGUAAGUUAACUAGAUGGUAAAGUCACAAACUUUAUCAACAUAUAUACAGUUUUAAUAUCAAUAUUUCAUCCAUAUACAUGGUAAUAUGAAAUGAGGAUCAUUCUACCUUAAACUCCAACAGAUAAAAUUUCCAAUUUCUAAAUCAUGCCACACCAAAGAAUUUACCUUUACCAAACCCAACAACAACAUAUCCGUGUAAUCCCACAAUGUAGUGUCUCGGAAGCUUAGAGUGUACGCAGAUCUUACCCCUACCUGUUGUUCUAAACUUACAAACUUUAUCAACAUAUAUACAGUUCUAACAUCAAUAUUUCAUCCAUAUACGUGAUAAUAUUAAAUUGUCAAAUGAGGAUUAUUCAACCUUAAAAUCCAAAAGACAAAAAAAUUCCAAUUUCUAAAGCUUGUGACACCAAAGAUUUCACCUUUACCAAACUCAACAACAACAUACGCAAUGUAUUCCCACAAAGUGAUGGUCUAGGGAGAGUGUACGCAGACCUUACCCUCCUUAGACGAAGAGAGGUUGUUCUAGACUUACAAACUUUAUCAACAUAUAUACAGUUCUAACAUCAAUCAUAUACAUAGUAAUACUAAGCACUCAAAUAAGGACUAAUCUACCUUAAAACUCCAAAAAAGACAAAAUUUCCAAUUCCUAAAUCUUGAAAUACCACAGAAUUCACCUUUAUCAAACUAAAAACUACCCAAACAUAAUCAUCAAGAGCAAAUCAGCACCAAAAAUACCAAACUCAAAAAAACUUGAGAACCAACAAGAAAAUUUUGAAAAUCCCAACCUUGUAUUACUAUCACCAGAAGACUCAAAGCCAUCCUUAGAUGAAGAAGAACAAACAAACUGAGUUCUUGCUGUGUAUUUCAAUAAAGAUUGGUUUUUUAGAGUUGAACUCAAAGAAGAGCUAAACAAAACAUGGGUCUUUGAGGAAUCAAGCUUAGAAGUAUGUAUUAAUGGAUGAAAACAAAAAAAGAUAGAACCCAUCUUCACCCUUUUGAGAAACAAAAAUUAAAGAAUAACAGCAAAAUGAAAAGAUUAGAAGAUGGGUUUUUUUUUGGAGGAUUAUAUUGAGAAUCAAAGUUCUUUAUAAGAGGAUGAUGAUGAACUUGCUUUAUCUAAAGAUUGGGCACAUAAACUCAUUUUUAGUAUGAUAAAUGACAUAAAUUUUUACCAACAUUGAGUUGUGAUCGAACCGCGUGGGCAUUCGGUAAUUCGGUUCGGCUUCGAUUUUUUUAAAUUUUUUGGUUUUUGUACAACGUAUACCGAAUACCGAUCGAAAUAAUUCAGUUUGGUUUGAUUUUUAUUAUUUCGGUUCGAUUUAUAUUCUUUCAAUUUGAUUUUGUUGUUUCGUUUUUUUAAUGGGCCCUUAGUGGGCUUUUUAAAAUUUAAAAUUGAGAAACUUACAUGAAUAUACUAUACUAAAAAAAUAUUUAUCAUUUAUAGCAAUAAUAUUUUUUUUCACUUGAUCACUUUUAAUUCAUUUUAAUAUAAGAUUAAUACAUAUUUCAAAGAAGAAUUUAUUAUUCACAUAUAAUACAAGUUUUAAUGAUUGAUAAUACAGUUAUCACACAUUUUAAUACACUUAUAAUGCAAUGUAACAAUUUUUAACCAAACAAACAUAAUAUAUUUCAAAAACAAUUAUAAUUCAAAUAUAUUGUAUACAUAAUUCACUUUUAAUACAUAUUUAUUACAAUAUUGCUAUAAAUGGUAUUAAACAAAAAGUAUCGCUAAAAUCAGUAAUUAUUUUUCAAAAUCUAUUAAUUUAUGUAAUUUUUCCUUUAAAAUUUUACAAAUUAUUUUUGUUUGAUUUUUCAGCUUAAUGGACUAAAAAUAGUUACAUCAAAGAGGUGUCUUUUAAUUUUAAAUUUUAAAUUAUAAUAUUUAUUAUUUAACAUUAGUAAUUAAUAUAAUAUAAAUAUAUAUUAUGAUAUAAUAUAUUUUGGUAAAUCGAAAUACCGACUAACACAAAAUUACAUAUCGAAAACCGAAUCAAAAUAUCAAAAAAUACAAAAAUGUAUACCGAAUAUCGAAUCGAAAACCGAAAAAUCGAAAUCAAAAUAUCAAAAAAAUUCGAUUAGGUUUUCUGAUAUUUAUGCCCAACCCUAAACAAUUGAGUUUUUUCAUUCUUGAUAAAGAUCGAACAAAAAUUAUUUAAAGUACCCUUUAUUGGAUAGUGUUGUAUAUUUAAUAUAUGAUAUUUUUCGAUGUGAAUUUAAACAUGAAUGUCAAUAUCUAGUGAAAAAUCAAAAAAGAAUGAAGAAGUGAAGUUUCAUAUAGUUGAAUUUAACUUAGAGAUUGGGUUAUUAUUAUUAUAUUGUAUUUCGAUUAAUUAUCCUUUUUUUUUGUUUUAAUUUAUGUAAAAUUGUUAGAAUUGAUAUAAAAGUUAAAACAAAGGUUUAGAAAUUUAUCGUCUAAAAUAUUCAUUUCAUCAAGGAUAGAAAUGUCAAAUACUAAGAAGCUGAUAGAAUUGUUUGGAAGAGGUCGAAUUUAACUUCUACGAAUUAUCAUAACUCGUAUAUAAAGCAUUACUUAUAACAUAAAAAGAUCCUAUAAAAAUAUUUAUAGUUAAUUAUCUAUGACAAGUGUAAUUAAUAAUAUUUAUAACAUUGAUUUUGAAAUUUUGGCGAUUAUAAACACGUUCUAUUUUAAUACAGCAAACUUUUAUUAGAAAUUUGAAGUGAAAUUUGAUACGAUAUUUUCUUCAUUAAAAGAAUAUGUUUGGUACGCCGAAAAAUAUUAUGUUUGAAAAAUGAUUUACAGGAAGAUGAGUGGGUGUUCUAUUUAUAUUUUUGUUUUGAUACGUAACUAAAAAAUAUAUUAUUCUAAAAUAUUAAUAUAAUUUUAAAUAAAUACUAUUAAACAAGAAAAGAAAAAGGUACAAAUAUGAUAAUCCUUCGGUCACUCUAUACAGAAGUCUUAGAUUUGAGUUCUUUUUUUAAAGAGAGCGUGGCGAAUUUUUUAUGUAUUAAAAAUGUCCAAUGUGUCUGUACGGGAAACUAAAUCUUUCACCACGUAUAUUCACAUUAGUGAAAAUGUCCGAAAAACUAAAUCGUUCACAACGUAUAACCACAUUAGUAAACGUCCGAGAAACUAAAUCUUUCACAAUGUAUAUCCACAUUAAUAGAUGUCCAAUGUGCGUACCGAACACCAGACGGGAUACCAAGUCUUUAACUUCAAGUUAACUACAUGCUAUGUAUGACACUCAAGAUUCUUCACUUGUAAUAAAGUUUUCAUUGAGUUUUAAAGAAGUGAAAUGUUCUUUAUACAUAAAAAAGAGUGUUGAAAGAGAGAAGUUUUGUAAAAAUAUACAAAAAAUUGUUCCCAACUUUCAAACACUAGCUAUCUCAACAGACUUCUGAAGGGCACCUAAGAGGCUUCUCAUGAUUCUUGGCUCACCGGGAGGCGCCUUAUCUCUCGAGGGUCCAUUUCGUAUGGCUCGAAAUAUUGGAGGUGAAGUCUCAGUUGCAGGGAAAACCAUACAGUCUAUAUAUGCAAGAACUUCAGUUUGAGCAUCAUCAACUGAAAUGAAACAAACUCUGGCUCCGCGAGGAAUUUUAUCAACCUGUAUACGAAAGUAAGUCUCAUCUUGAUGAUGAACAUUGUGUAUACAACACGAACAAUUUCGAGUGUUUAGUCUGUGAAUGUAAGAAUGACUAGUAGUUUCUUCUGCAUAAGUCGAAAGACAGGAAAAAGAAAACAGAAUCUGCCUAUUUUUUUGUUAUAAAGGACAAUUGAUGUUUACUUCUUUAUAUUUUGAAUCUCGAUUGAUUGGUUAAUAAUGUUCUCGAGGUUGUAUAUAGUCCGAUGUUCAAUGAUAUGACUCUCCUACUGACUGCAUUGCUUGAAUGCAGAAACAGUAUAUCGAGCUUAGAAAUGAGGACGAGUUACCUUUAGAGGCACCGGUAGUGGCAACAUAGCUCCUUGACAAAGGCUGUUAGCCCACUGCAAGUCACAAAACAAAGCAUCGUUAACAUUAACAUACUAGCAUUAAACGACAACAACUAUGCCUCAAUCCCAAAUAAGUUGGAGUCGGUUAUAUAUAUAUAUAUAUAUGUAUACUCACUAAUCCAGUUUAUAUACAAAGAUAUCAGUAGAAACGACGUCUUUCCUUUCUAUGUUGACACUUGAACAGAGAAUUUGCAUGUUAAAUGAUGCACACAGAGUCCAAACAUGAACAAAGGUCAUCUGCAAAAUGCACAAAGUCCACGAACACGAACAUGGAACUUUGUUAUGACUUCUUUUCAAUUCUCCAUCGUUCUGUUCUUGUUCUCGAGGUGAUGUAUGCAGAAAUGAGAUUCUCUAAGAGAACAAAUGUGUUAAACAGUAAACUAGUCCUUUCAUUACAAAACUUGCUGCUAAAUGAAUCGAAAUGUGACUAAUGUAUCUCUUGUUUGGAUAUUAUAGCUUCAUACGCUAUAGCCUCGAGUCCUUAAGUGGUUAUUGAAUACUCUUUAUAAACCAGUAUGACUAAUUAGCCAUUCUCUUGAACCUCUAGGUCUUCGGAGUUAACCAUAUGAUAAUUCAUAUUCCGAGACCUCUGGUUAAAAGGUGAAAGAACCUUUACCAUUCCCACACCUCUUGGUGGUUGUUGAAGUUUUUUAAAACAAACACAUAAACACAACAAAAGUUCACUUUUCUUAAUCUAUGGUUUCAAAGGGAAGAACCACUAGGGAUUCUAUAACUAGUCUAGCACACUCUUUUCUUACCACUUCUAAUUAGAUAGACUAAAAAUACUUAUUGCAAUCAAAUGAAAUUUAUACAAACAAAAGUGAAGAUCAGGGGUGGUUCGACAGUGUUGAAAAAAAAGACAUGUGUCUUAGGCCUUCAAAUUUAAGGCGUUCUAUUUUUAAUAAUAAUAGGUUAUAAGUUAUUAUUUAUGAACAAAUAUUGAAUACUAUUUGUAGAAAAAGUAAACAUUUCAUGAAAAAUGAAGAGAUUAUUAGAAGAAAUUCGACAUAUCUGUAGUACUAUAUAUCUCAUGAAAUAUAAUUUUUAAAAUAAGCAUGGUAACCAGAAGAAAUCAAUUAUAAAAAAAAAUAUUAACAAUUUAAGUUUAAAGCCCCGUUUGAUUUUUGUUUUAGAUAACUAAUACGCUUAAGGCGUCCCUGGUAAAAACAUUUCAACAUAAAGGCUGUCCGGUACACAAAUCAUCCUGUGUUAGCAGGGUCCAAGGAAGGGUCACACCCUGUGAUGUAGACAGUCUACCCUAAAACAAGCAUUUAGCGUCUGAAUAAGCAAAAACAACUUUAUUGUUGCUCUAAAGCUCGUUUAACUGUCUUUGAAAACAAACUCACAAUCAAAAGCAAUACCUGAAAAAGUAGGGUUUCAAAUCUAGCAAGAUCAAUAUCUUUUGGCAAUUUCAUUGUUCCCAAAGAAACCCCAUCUUCAUAAUCUUGAUCAUUAGGUCCAUCUCCUCCACUUGCUUUCACCACAACACUCAAAUUAUGAUAAUUUGAAAACUCACUGAGGUUAAACAACCUAUUGUUAGUGUUGGUGAUGAACAAAGUUGAAGGAGGAAUAGACCUAGUUGGACAAAUUUGCACUUGAGAAUUAUGUGUUAUGUGAAAAAAUUGUUUGGUUGUUAAGGAAGACAUGGCUAAUUGUCUUACCCUUUUUCUUUUUGUUGUUGUUGUUUUAGUUUUUGUUAUUUUUUUUGCUGUUAGAAGUGGUUAUUUUUAUGAACAUGUUGAUGAGAUAUUUAGAUAGGAUAAGGGAUUUUUGCAAAUCAGUGGUGGACAGUCUACAAUAAAAAAUAACAAAAGAUUAUUACCAAAAAUAAUAUACAAAAAAAAGAUUUACUUCUUAGUCCAGGAAAAAAUUACAUGAAUUAAUACAUUUUUAAAAAUAAUUACUGAUUUUAACGAUACUUUUUGUUUGUUAUCAUUUAUAGUAAUACUGUGAUAAAUCUGUAAUAUGCAUUGAAAGUGAAUUAUGUAUGCAAUAUAUUUGAAUUAUAAUUGUUUUUGAAAUAUCUUAUGAUUGUUUGGUAAAAAAUUGUCAAAUUGUAUUAUAAUUGUAUUAAAAUGUGUGAUAAAUGUAUUAUCCAUCAUUAAAACUUGGUAUUAUAUGUGAAUAAUAAAUUGUUCUUUGUAAUAUGUAUUAAACUUGUAUUAUAAAUGAAUUAAAAAUGAUCAAGUGAAAAAAAAUAUUAUUGCUAUAAUAAUAAAUAUUUUUUUAUUUAUAAUAUAUUUAUAUAAGUUUCCCUUUUUUAAAAUAGAAAUAUGAUUGUGAUCCGUUCCUUGGACUCUUGCAUAGAGAUAGCUAAGUACACUAGAUUGAUCAUUUUUUUAUGGAAGUAAAAGAUUCUGAUCUGACCCUCGGACCUUAUGCAUAGUGAAAGCUUAAUGUAUUAGAUUAUCUUUUUUUGUUUUUUAUAAAUUCGUAGUCUAAAACAAUUCGUUGUCAUUAGCCAAUACUGGAAACAUCUUUGACGUUGGUUCAAUCCUUCCUCAAAUCCUACACAUAGCCGAAACUUAAAUCUUUGAGACGACAAUAUCGAGUGGAUUUAGUUAGAUGGAAACUCCCGCGUAGUUAGACAGGAGUUUCAAUGAUCAUCUACCUUAUCUAAUAAACUAUGUGCCCGCAUAGAUCUAGCAUUGGAGUUUAAAGAGUCCUUUAAUUUAGUAUAAAAGAAUAAUACUAAAUAGAAUGUAUUCAUUAUUUUUCCAUUAUUAAUAUCUAGAAAUACAUGAGAUGAUAAAUAAACACAUGAAAAAUGCACCAAAUAAGAUAUUGCUAAUACAAGAAGUUAAUGCAUUCAUUAUUUUUCCUAAUACACUCUACCAAACGAACCCUAAAAGUGAUCUUAAAGUUAUAUAUACAAGCAAUAUUGUUGCAAACAAGAGUUUAGCUAAUAGUAUAGAAUCAUAGCUCACUCUGAAUCCAAAUAUAAAAACAUGGAAAAUGGGAUUUUUUCGAAAGGACGAGGAAGAUAAAAUAAAUUAUGAAUUAAACAAGUUUAUUUUGCCUGUCAGAUAAAAAGAAAUUAAUUUGAAGCUAUUUUCUCAGUUUUUUUUCCUCUCUUUGCUGCUGUACAAGAUCCACAAGUAUCUAACUAAAAGUUCAUACAACCACCAAGCUGCAGCAACACCCUUUUUUGCAAACUGAAUGCAACAAUUUCCAUUCAUGCUCUCAACGUCGAGAGCAGAUCGUGCUGAAGUCCGUCUUCAUAUUGUCGUAAAAUUACUAUGAAGAGUGAGCUUCAAGCUUGGGAAGAAGACUUCGCCAUGCAUCUGCUAUGCCAUUAGAUAGCCGCGCCUGUCCCUUAGCAAAUUCAUGGAAAGCAAGUCCCAUAUCUGAUGUCUUCUGUUCUUGAAAUCGGACAAUCUCUUCGUUCAUAAGCCUUACUAUCGUAUCAAAUCUUCUCGAUGUUUCUUCCCCUUCAGCCUUAAGCUGUAUUCCGGAGAAACACAAUGUAAGUACCUGUCUGGGCAGUUCCACGACUAGCCAACUGGAAAAAAAAAAGUUGAACACACUGACCAUUUCAUACUCGCGCUCAGCCUCAGCCAACUUCUCUGAUCGUGUCAGCUUGUAUUUAUUUCUGCAAUGAAAAGGCAAGAGACGAAUUUUACUUCAGAACAGGGACUCUGAGAUACUGCGCAAAUGACUAAACAAGACUAUUAAGAGGAUUGCAUAUUUCCCUGUUUUAGAUAAAACAACAAACACAUGUUUCGACUCUUUACUUCACAGAUUAACAGGAUAGGAAUGAAAAAGAAGUCGCUGUUUAUAAUGGUAACUUUUCACCUAAGAUAUGCAUAUUACAUAUGCAAGAACGACGUCAACGAUUUUUUUCAAGACAAGGAGGACGCUACAUUAAAUAAAAUUGCAAAAAGUGACUUCAAUUCAUUCUUCAGUGAAUCAAAUUCUUAAAAGUAAUUUCUUCACUCUUCACUAAAUCAAAUACACACUUGGCACCAUCUAAUCUUGAACCUAGUAGUUACAGUUCAACACGUGAUGCUAAAAGGCCUUCCAUUGAUGUCCCAUCUAUGUAAGUUUGUAUAAAAAAACAUAUAUGGUUUGUCAUCAUUGUGAGAAAUACAGGAGAAAUACAUUAUUGAAUCGUGUAUCUACAUUAUUACAUUGAGACCCUAUUUAUAUUUUAUAGACACUGCAUUAGAAUCCUUUUUCAACUAGGAUUCCAAUUCUAGUUAAGAUUGUAUAUACUUAUUUCUACUCUAACAAUCAUAAUACUAUGCAACAGUAUAUACCAUUGGCAGAGUAAAAGUACCUAUAUGGCUAUUCUCACAAAAGAAAGAGGAGAUAGGCUGAGGUUGGGAGGAGGGGUGGAAAAAAGAGGGACCCAUGUAAACCUACGCAAAUCAAGGGGCCAACAUGAUGGCUAAUAAACCCAAUCAUAACAUUGAGCUCAAUGUAGGUGAAAUCAGCAAUUAAGUUGUACUUUUAUACAACAUGCAGGACAAUGAUAAACUAAUUAAAUACAGCAAAUUCUCAUACUGCAAAAUUUUUUGUAGCCGAUUAAAAUUUUUUGUUAACUUCUCCAGUAAAACAAGACCUAGACAGUAUUUACAUCAACAUCAAACCACAUCUCACACUAAACAUGCCUGGAUGAUAAGAGUAGCAGAUUAGACCAUACUAACAGUAAAACAGAAUGAAGCCUUGUUUAUCAGAUUUAAGAUAUCAUAGUGCAUAUUUAACCCUUCCCAUAAAAAUAAAAAAAUAAAAAAUAAAAAAAACCCUCCCCAUACACCUAGAAUGCAGUAGUGUCAUAGACCAGGUCAGUGUAUAAAUAUGACAUAGUUGAAGGAAAAACUUGCAACAGUUCAACAGAACAACCACCAAAUGCAAACCAAGAUCAGGUUUAAAAAACCACCAAAGGAACAAAACAGGGGGAAGAGCAGUACAGAUGUUGAGACAUACAAAUCAAUUUCCUUAAACUUAAUUGUCUCAGCCAGUUCACACUGUUUCUUGAAUGCAGUUGCUCUCUCUGCUAUCGUAGCCUGUUCAAAGUUAGCACGGAUAUUAGUGUAGGAGAGCAACAGAACACUAGGUUACUCUUAGCAAAGAAAAAGCUGAAAGUACAAAUACAGAUGCAACAGUUAUUUAUCUUUGAGGAUGCAGUAUUUGUCAAAUGUACUCAAGUCCUGAAGCAAGGCUUAGGGCAGCCUUGGCGCUUCACCUUGUUUAAGUUGAACCUUAUUGCCUUAAGGCAUGCCCGAGUCCUGAAGCUCAGCUCAAACCAGGGUUGGAAAAUGAUCUAGUACUGUUACCCAAAUGUUACAUAUGGAUAUACUAAAUGAUCAAGAACAGAAAAUUAUAUAUUUUGUAUGAAAAAUAAUUUAUCUUAGAUCUUAAGAAAAUACUUAAAAUUGCACCAUUGCAUAUUAAUUAAAAAUUGUGAUGGCAUCUGAAUGUAGUUGAUACAGAUUUACUUCAAAUAAUGUACAUGAUAACAAUUAUUGCAGUUUCUCUACCCAUAUAAUUACAAGUUAUCUUUAUAUUAUUUUUUCUUGCAUGUUAUUCAACUUCAUCAUGUGCUUAUAAUUAACUUCAUCAUGUGCUUUCUUCACUAAUGCACCCACGUUUUUGUCUUUUAGCCUUUGAUGACGCUGAACUGAAAAUUUCCAUCCACUUGUUGGGUAAAUAACACUGUUUCUUUUACUUUUUUUAAUUGGUGACUAACACCUUUUUCUUACAAGCAAAGUAGACUGCUCACCUUAAUAGAUUGCACUGCUCGAACAUAAUCCUUCAAAGGUUCUUCGAAGUUCAUUAAAAGGUGGUGGGCCUGAGUGACAGAGCAUUGCCUGUUAUCAUUACCUAAUUUUGUACAAGAGAAAAGACCAUGGGUUAUUCUUUGUUGAAAAUACCUCUUUCUGCAGCUUAAUUGAUAUUAUCUCAGACUUUGCCCCAAGUUCUGAAAAUGCUUUUCCAAGGGCAUCAUCAUCACAAGUACCAAGAAGCUUGACUGCCUUUCCAAAGUCUGAGAGAGACUCGCCCAACUCUGAAAUAACAAGAAAAACCAUAAGUCAGCUGCUUGGAAUGACAAAAUGACAAGUUUGUCAUAUACAUAAGGAUAGGAAAGGAAAGUAAAGCACACAAUAUGUUUAGAAACACAAACACGUGAUGAGAUAACAAAAGUCAUAUGCCAUCUUCGGAUUGAACACUGUGAGGCGAAGAGAAGGAGAUCAAGAUAUGUCAAAUACGGAGACGGUGUUUGACCAAACAGUUCACAUUUGAAAUUCCUCAUUUUCAAAUUGCAUCUGGGGUAUACUGUCCCAGUUUGCCACUUUACAUUGAGUUGUAUCUUCUUCUCUGCAUCCUCAUUAUGUGACAGAUCACAUAACUGAAUAAAAAUGUACCUGUCUCCCCUGAUAUUCUAUUUUCUUACAGCCAGUUUGGCCAUAAGCAAAGGAAAAAACAUUGAGCCAUUCAUAUUGUUCCCUUUCUUCACGAUAGGAAAUAGAAGAGGCUUUUCAUUAGUUCACGUUGAGUUUCUCCAGAACACAUUCUACAAAUGGCUUAACCGUUAUUAACUAAUUUAGGUCACACGCACACACACACCUCUUCCCUGACAGAAUUGCAGAUGGAACUUAGCUUCACACAAUAACACUUCUACAUUAAUCUUCUCCAAUCCAGAAUUUGAAUUUACAAAAGUACACUUUCCCAUUGAAGAGAAAAAAGUUGAUGAUAAACCAAAGUCGUGAGCCCCGCAGGGUCUCCAAGUUUUUUUGAGACAAGGGUAACUUUGUAUUCACACCAACAAUUCAUCAUCCACAGGUUCUCCAAUGUAUUGGUUAACCUUGUUUUCUCUCAGAAAAGUUGAUGAUGGACUCCUUUCACUAUUUCUCGGGCACAAAAAAUUAGCCCACUUGGUUAAGGGAUGAAGGUAUAGGAUGAAUCCUCCUAGAAGCUUAGCUAUAGGCAAGGAAGGGGGUGCGAGCAGGGUCGAAGAAGGCAUGGCACCUGAAUCACCAUGUCUCUUACUGCUUGAGAAUCAGAUAGAUAUCUCCUUACGAGACUGAAAUAAAAAGUGCUGUAAUACAGUAAUUAAAUAUCUGAAGUGCAAAUACACUUGCACAGAGUACUCAAUGCCUUUAAACUAGAUUUUCCUACCUCUGUGCCUCUUGACAAGACGAUAUGCAUGCUUUUGAGCCUCAGCUAAAUGCUCCUCAAGCUCAAAGAUGUAGUUCUUCAUCUUCUCAUAUUCUGGGGUUGAUUCUUCAACUGGCUUUUCCUUCCCAAGAACAACAUCACUCACUUUAGAUUGGACAUCCUGUCAUUUACGACUUACUGUUAGUUUAAGAAUAAUCCUGUGCACAAACCAUUGUAAUAUUCCUCACUCAGUGGCGUCAGCCAAAUGUGGUUUGAACUUUGAAGUCCAUUAAUAUACCAAAAAGAUCAAGAAAAAAAACACACUAUAUGCACCACAGGCCCACAUAUGAACAAUUAAAUAACAGUAAAUCACAUCAAUAGAGAUGUUGUCAAAGAAGAAGCAAAGAAGGAGGAUUAAUUUCAAUAAGUGUGAUCAAAUUAUUUUAAGUGUAGAAUUGGAAGUAUAAUUAUUCGGAAAUUGUAUUAUUAUAUUCAACUGUCAGAUACCUUAAAGAUUUGGAUCAAAUCUGCAGGCUUUUUCUUGAAAAUACCAGUCUCCUGGAACCUUGCUCUGUCCAUUGUCUGAAGAAAAGGCAACAGGCAUGAACCACUUUUAAGAAAAAGAUGAAACUACAAUAUUAGGAAAUAUAUAAAGCUGAUAUGAUAAAUGCAUUAGACAUAGUUCAAGUACAGAGUACAUGACCUCUUCCUACAGAUUUUAAAACCUAAAGCAUUUAAUAAUUGAAGAGAACAGAACUUUGACAGGCGAUGUCCUCAAAUACCAAUCUGAAAGAAAUCAAUAAAAAUAAGGUCUCCAGUGUACCGAAGAUCUGCUAAGACUAGUUUAUUACUCUAGAAGCUCAUUACACCAAUAUGCUCCCCCAAAUCUGCCCGGUAAAAGUGCAUUUAUUUAACCAAAUCAAUAUACUUUUAAGGGUCAUAUAAAACCAACAUUAUUUUUUUACAAAAAUGGUGAGCAGUAAUUAUAUAAAAUAAGAAAUCUGGCACUCAGUGAAAAUCCAAAAUUAUUUUAUACAGCUUUUAUACAACCGAGAAACCCCUGAAAGCCAACUGGUGCAUGAUUCUAAACUCGGUGGUUAUUUGUGCAAUGUUCAGUUGCUACUUUUGUCUACCUCAUAAAUAAUACAAGCAGAAGCUCUACAUGAACCUGUGUAUUUUUUUUGCACAAAAUGGAAUGUAGAAUAAGAAUGCGGAUAUUAAUAACCCUGCACAUGAAUUAAAAGUACUGAAAUCACAAAACUAACCUUAUAAAAGUAAAUAAAAAUGUUUACGAAGUAAAUAAAUUUUAAAUUAUACAUUUACAUUGUAUACUAACUUGUAGUAUAGAAUCCAAUCCUCCAGCAAGAGAUAAUCUCUCAUUAUAAUCCCUGAUUUACUAAUCUUUGCAUUACUAAUCCUUGCAUAACUAUUCUAUAAACUGAAUGGCCCCUAGAUUCUUCAAAGAUAGUGCUCAAUUAGUUAAUAGAAAUAAAGAGUUAGGAUCAAUUACAGUAGUUGAUCCCUCAAUGGCGUGUGUUCAAGGUUAAGUAACACAAAUUAAAGAGACCACAAAACCAGUACAAGAUAAAGACGAGAGACGUUCAAUGAUGUGGCUUACUAACAAUCAGAAUCACAGACACCAGACAAAUAAGAAUACCUCCACAAAAGGUUAGAUAACAUAUGAACUCUAUUCAACAAAGUAAACUAACUUUUAUUACCUGUUCAUCAGCCUGCAAGAAGAUUCUCAAAUCGUCACUUUGCCGAAGUUCAUGAUGUGAAGCUAUUCUGUUUACAAACACAUCCAGAGCUUGGCGCCUCAUUUCAAUAAAUUCUGCACUAAAUCUGAACUUUUCUGCAAGAAGGUAGAUAAUAAUAAUCACAAAAUGCCUGAAAAUAAGAUCAUUUUAUUGGUGCAAAAGCUAGUGGCUCCCCUUGAUAGAUUCCAAUACUUAAAUCUUUAUAACCUAUACUUCUCCAAAGAAAAUGGGAUUGAUGCCCCAAAACACAGACAUCCUUACACAUGUUUGACACAGUUAAUUAUGUCAAUCUAUAACAACUUCCGCCUACAUGACUCCCAAUUCUUGUCCGUCUCAUUUAGUCAUUUCCAACAAGCAACGAUAAAUCAACAGAUUCAAGAUUGAACAUAUUGGACACCUAUUGGUUUUAAAAUCACUUAGAGUUAGAGAAAAGUCAAAGAGAUAACCAGCACGAGAAAGAAGUGUAGUCAAUACCUACAGUGCUCUUCUCUGGAAGUGGAGGAAUAAAAAUACCCUUGUAUUUCUCAAAAAGCCGAUCGUGUAACCAUACAAAAUCACUAUAACGUCGAAUCACAAUCUUUUCAUUCCCUUGGUACUCUGCCAAAUUUGUCUGUCUUGAAGAAAAAUGGUGAAUGAGAACUCGAGGAGAAUCAUGAGAAGUAUAUACUAUACUCUGCUGAUAAAAAACAUAUGAAUGUCUGUUCCAGAAACAGGGCAAGAGAAAAAAACAAACAGAAGAAGCAGAAUAUUAUAGAAUCUUAAGUUCAGCAAAAUAACAUCCAUUGGAUGCAGGGAUUGGGAUGCGUAAGCUCUGGACCCAAAAAGAGUCUCUGGAGAUUAAAUUGAGUCUCAAACGUACUUAAGUAGUUGUUUCAUUGCUUGUUCAGCCUAUUAGAAAAAUGAAUUUUCGCCUAACUCAACCUCAAAAGCUAACUCAUGUAGUAAGAAGGAUUGUUCAAGGCUAUAGCCUAUACCCUCAAUCAAUCCUGGACACUAACACAAACUAUGAGGUUCACAUUUCAGGCCUCAAGAUCCAAACUAAAACCACCCCACUAAAUAUCAAAGAACUUUUCCUUACAACAUGACCAAAAGACCAACAAAUUAAAUAUGUUAUGUGUAUAAAAGCAUACUUUAAGGGGAAAAGAUCUUUAGAACUGAACGAGAGAAACGGAAGUACAAAUAUCCUAGAUGGUAAAAGUAUCUAUAAAGUACUUAUUCCCAAGUACAUUAAAGAAGGUUUCAGCGAGAAUAGAGCAAGUGACUUAAAAGAAAUAGGUUUAUGCAAACACUGAUGUGGUUGUUGCGGGCAUAAAGUGAAAAAAAUAGAAAUAUAACUCAAAAUUUAAAUAAGUAGUUCACACUUCACACUAUCCAAUAUAGUCUUACAGUAGAGGUCCUAACUUUGCAUGAGUGAGUUCACUUAUAUUGCUGAUCCCAACAUAGAUAAAGAGGGAGGAUUGUGGUAGGUUAAUAACUAGCGCACAACUAGCAAUCUAUGAUGAAUUCUCACAACAAAAACAAGUUGAUAAGACGGGCUUAAAUUGUGCAACCCGCACUGUAAGGAUUCCUAUAUUGAUGUGUACUUGUUGUAUUAGAAUUUAGAGCAGAGACCUUGAUUUCAAGUCACAGCACCCCUAUCAAAAGAAGAAUUCAAAACUUCCUUUGCAAUUAGAAGUAUAAGACUACCCUUUCUUUAACUUAUUCGCGGAACUCCUGGAAGGGUUAAACAAUGAAAUACAAGUAGAAUCAAGAUAUGCACAAUAAAUAACUAAGCAUAGAUAUAUCCAUGUGUAACAUUCGACUCUCCAAUUUCCUAACGUCUCUUAAAAACCCCACCUUACUAUAUAGUUUCUCUUUCUAUGGAUGACAUAUUUUGAACUACAAACUUCAUAUCGCCAUGAGAACAAAAUCUCAAAUGUCAAUCGUAUCAAAUCAAGACGUUUUGCUCUUCAAACUCAUGUAAAUUAUGCCAAGCUUAAAGGUUGCAUCUUUCCAAAUAUACAUCCAACAGGAAGUCCUUCCAUUUGUUUACUCUGAUUCUAUAUGUUAUUCUUAGUCUUAUCAGAUAUUAUUGAAUUUGAUCAUAGAUUCAGUCAACCUUAAUGCAAUUAGCUUCUCUGAAGUACAGGAAACCCCAGUUCGAGAUCCAUAAAGGGGUUUCUUAGAAAAUAUGAACUUGACGUUCGCCCUAAUCCAGCAACUUCGAGCAUAAUACUACUACUAGCUAUACAAUUAAACAUGUAUAAGCAUAACUAGUAAAUGGAAAGAGAAGGCAAUGAAUCAACGACCUUAGUGAUGACUUUGUAGGAGAUAUAAGCUUGAACUCCAUUACCCAUUUUAGCUGGAUCCGUAACUGAUACUGAUAAAAACGGCGCUUGUGAAGAUGGAGAUCUAGGGCUCUGUAACGAACCUGAUCCACUUCGUUGCUGCACCAUUAUACAACAUUCAAAAUCAAACAAUACGAAGAUUCAUCCUUAUAAAUUCGAAAAAUUGACUACAAAUUCAAAAUAAUGACGGAAUCCACACAAUUACCAUGGUGUUCAUGGCUGUUCGGCGAUUAGUUGCUACCGGAGAACGGUGGCGAUGGGUUGCGGUUUGUGCAAAGGUCUACUCGUGACUUUGGGUUUUAAUGGAAGAGUCGUGUAGCACACAUGUGAAACAUAUGAUAUAUAUAUAUAUAUAUAUAUAUAUAUAUAUUUUUCCAAUAUUUUCUUGUUAUUCGAUUUCUAUUAUUAUGUUUCGUUUAUAUAUUUUGAUUAUUAUAUUAUUAUUUUUCUAUAGUUAUUGUUCGUUUUUUCUAUAAAAUACAUUAUUUAUUUUCUAGAAUAGUUUGUUGUUUAUUUUUUCACUUACGUUAUUACUUUCUUUAUUAAAGGAUUUGUCAAAAAGAAUUAUAUGAGUUAAUUCUGAGUAUAGUACUCAAAUCUCAUAAGACUUCACUUUUGAAAUUACGAUAAAUAGCUUAUUGUUAUCAUUUUGGUUGCUAGUCGGGAAUUUAGUUAUGUCGAGUUGUUUUAUUUCGUUUUUUAGUUAUAAGUAUUAAUUAAUUACUAGUGUUAUUAUGCACUAAAUGGAAGUUACAUAUUAUUCUAUGAUGUGUUAUGUUGUAUUUAAUUGGAUUAUAUCAUAUUGUAAUACUUUGAUGAAUGCAACAUUUGAAUGUAUUCAAAUGUAUUGUAUUGUUUUCAAUUGUUACUCUACCUAAUGUUAUGCAUUAAAUUAUUUAAAGGAAGCAUCUAUUAAAAUGUGUAUGACGAAUAUUUAAAUUAAAAGUAGAAUAAAGUAUAAAAUAUAAUUAUUAGAUAACAAGUAACAAGUAAAAAUAUAAAACAUCAAACUGAUAAUUAUAUAAAGGCUGAAUACAUAAAAUUUCCUCUGAAUUUGGCAGCAACACUCGCUUUAGUACUUUAACUCUACGGGUAAUUAUUUGCCCUCUAAUCUUUUUGCAAGUGAAUUUAAUACCACCUUAAUAGAAUUAAUUUUUUUUUUCUUUUUGAAAAAAAAAAUCUCACUAUAUAUAAUGGAAAAAAAAAAUGACAAGUAACAAUGAUUUUAGUGAUACAAUAUAAUUAAAUUUGGAUAACAAUCGAAAUAAAUAUUAUAUUCAAAAUAACAACAUGAUAAGUAACAACUAGGACUGCUUAUCGAACGGAUAAUUUCGCUUAACAAUUUGACCCGAUGGAUAUUGAUUUUAAAAUUUUAAUAAUCUGAUAACUAAACCAUAAAACAUCAAUUGAUUUGAUAACGGACUAACAUUUAUCGUAUAAUUUAUUAACAAACAUUUGCAAUUUUAUUUUCUAUAUAAACACACCUUUAAAAUGAUUUUCUCACCUAUUUUAUGUGCAGUCAAAUUAUAAAAUACUUCUAUGUUACAACAAGAAAUAUAUAUAUAUAUAUGUAUAUAGAGUGAUUAAUAAUAUUAUAACAGUUAAUAAUAAAAAAAGUAUUUUCAUAUUUUUUAUUUUACGGUCUUAGGACUAAAAUAUAUAAUUAUAUAUGAUGUAAAAAUAUCAAACAAUGCUAAUAUACCCAAGUAAAAAGUGUUAGUGUGAUACCUUUUUACAAGUUAACGAUUUAUUCUAUAAGGAGAUUAAAUAAUUCACUAUAACAUUAAUGAGUCAUUAAUCAUAAAAUUUUAAUUUAUUUAUCAAUCGCAUUUUUAAUCUAAUAUCAAUAAAUUAAUAAAUUGAUUUUUAAAUUGACUAAUAGAUCCUUGAAAAAAACUAUCCAAUAAACUAUAAAGGACUUGUUCAUGUAAUCAAAAUGGCAUAAUCAAUCUAACUUUUUUUUUUUUAAAUUUUACAUUGAUAUUUUUAAUUUGGACAUAAGAAAAAUUCACUCAUUGCUGUAAAUAAAUGAUAUUUUAAUUAAUUGCUUUUCAUUAACUAAUAUCUAUUUUUUUUUUCAAUAUAGAAAAUUCACUUAGCUUAUUAUACAAGGUAAGUUUGAAAGCAAACAAACUAAUGCAUACUUAAUUUAUAAUUUAUGUAAUUAUAUCUAGUCAGAAUAAGAUAAAAAUAAUUUAACAUAAAUUACUAAUACAUAGAUUAAUUAACUGAAAAAAAAUUCUAAAACAAUCAAACUUUUUGCUGAUACUAAAACAUAGACAAAAGAAAAAAUUCAUUGUGAAUAUAAUAUCAAAACUUAUCUCUCUUAUUUUAAUUUCCUUAUAAUAGUUAUUUUUAAGUGUGCAUCAAGGUAAUAUAAUUAAUUUAUCUCAUUUAAUAUUUCAUUUUUUCGAAAAGAUAUUUUACAAUAUAUUUUUAAUAACUACCUUAUUCAAUAUCCAUCAAUGACAUAUUUAUUUGUUCAUGUUAUGAUUCACACGUAGAGCAAAAAUAUAAGAUAAGAUGAUCAAUUUAUUUUAACAAGUUAAAGUUUUAAUAAAUAAAGUCGCCCAUAUAAUAAUUAGAGUUGCACAUAUUUUGACGGAAAAUAAUAUUCAUUUUAUGAUUUUUUUUAUAACUUAUAUAUAUAUAUGGAAAGUAAAAUAUAAGAUAAUUUUAUUUAGUUUAAUUAUUUUUUUGUAGAGAGAGUUCUCUCUUUCAUGCGUUGAUGGAUUUAAAAUUUAUUCAUUAAAAUUUCAAAUAAAACUAUUUAAAAAUAAAAUCAAGUUUUAAAUCAUUACUUUUGAAUUUAAUCAGUUGUCACUACAACUCUAGCUCUGUCCUUAUUAAUAAACCCCAUUAUAAAGACCAGGAGCUAAAAUAGUUAUUUUUUUCAACAGUAAUAUUAUAAGCAUUCAUUAAUAUGGUGUGUAAGACUGGAUAAUGAAACAUGUAUUAGUAUCGGUUCGAUUCUGUUCCGGUUCGUUGCAUACGGGAUAGAACAGGACAUCCUGAAUCGAUACACAUAACGGAACAGAAUCGAGGUUUGGCUGGCGUACCAGUAUCCAUUUAUCUCGGUUUAUUUUAGUUCUGAUUCGGUUCUGAUCCGAUUUUAAUUAAUUAAUAUUUAUUAAUUAAUUUUAUAUUAUAUAUUUAUAUAUUAUAAUUUAUUUUUUAUAAUUUGUGUAAUUAUUUUUUAUAAUUACAAAUUUAAGUUAUUUAAACUAAAAGUUAUAAAUAUAAUUUAUAUAUUAUAACAUAUUAAUAAAUAAUAAGUAAUAACUUAUAAACCUCAAAAGAUUUUAAUCUUGAAAACUUAAUUAAACUUAACUUGCAAACUUAAUCAGUAAAUUUUUUUAAAAAAGUAUCUUGAAAAUAAAAUUAAGUAAAAAAUCACAUUAUAAAUUUUAAAACUAUUAACUUAAACUUAAAAAAAAUUUUAAAAAAUUAUUCAUAUUUUCGUAAUUAAAAAAAAAUAUUUUUUGAAAUAACUAGAUGUGUCAUCCCGUUUAUUUCGUCCGUUGCAUUUCGGUUCGUUCUGGUCCGUUCCGGUAUAUAGUGGGACGGAAUGGAACCGAAUAUCUGUCCCGAUAAUUUCGAUUCGAUUCAUCAGGGUACCGAUCGACAAACUGAUCAACUUGUUGUUUCGGUUCGAUACCGGUUCGAUCUGAUACCAGUUUGUUCCAGUCCGAUGAUCCCGUUCUGAUCUGUUGCCUAGUUUUAAUGGUGUAACAAUAUACAUUAGUCAUUAAGUAAAAUACAUUAAAUUUUAUAUAUGAUAUACUAAUCUGAUGUGCUAGAUACAUUAAUCUGAUGAGCAAGUACAAGUGAAAAUGAAAAAUUCUAAAAAUUUAUAAAACUAAUAGUGAUAAGAAAACUUAAAUAUGAAAUUUCUUGUCUCUUUUCUUUUUUAAAGUAAUAAAUACUAUUUGUGUCCUGGAUAAGAAUGUUAAUAUUUCCUUUAAUUUAGUGGACCCAACAUUUGAAAACCAGCAAAAGGAAAUAAAUGAAAUGAAAAUGAAAUCAGAUGAUUACUCCUUAAUGGGGUCCAAUGUUGAAUUUAUUUCCAAAUAUAAUAUAAAAUCUUUGGAAAAAGGAGGCACCUCUAAAUAUUAUCAGCACAAAUAGUAAUUUUAUAAUAAUUUCAACUUUUUGUAAUAAUUUUUUAAUAUUAAUUUUUUCAUCCCAAAAUAGUUACAUCAUGAUUUAUAUAGAGUUAAUUUAAGUGAUUUUUAUAGCUAAAUAAAUAUAAAAAAAUAACUAUUAGAUGUAAUUUUUCUUAUAUCGAUAAGUGAAAUGCAUUUUAAAAUAUUAAUUAAAGUUUAUAUAAAUAUAGUAAAAUAUGCUUUAAAUAUUGAUCAGUUUAAAUAAUUUGAACUAUUGUGACAAGUUUUUUUUUAGAGUGUGAAUUUAUAAUAAAAGUCACUUUAUUUCUAUUCAUCUUUUACAUUUUUUUCUGAACUUAAAAAUGAAUUUGACAAAUUUCUAAUUUUUAUCUUUUAUAAUUAUAAUGUUACAAUUAACUUGUCACAAUUCAAUUAAUUUUUAUAGAUGGAAUAAGUUAAGUCAAUUAAUAAAAACCGCACCCUUACUAUUAGGAGAUAUGUAGAAUAAAUUUCUUAUAAUAUGUCAUUGAAAUAAGUCCUUGUUAAUAAGAAAAAGUGAAGUUGAACAUGUGGUUUAAUUUUAUUUAUUGAACGAAUUUUAUAAUUGAUUUUAUCCGAAUAUUGUAUUAAUAAUGCAGAAAUCAUAAUUCUCAAUUUACUUCAAUUAGUCGCUAAAUAAUUUACUUUUUCUGACUUUCAUAUUGGAGGUCUCAAGUUUGAAAUUUCUUGUCACCGAAAGCAAGGAAUUUACUUUCUGAUUGAGCCCAGUGCAGAUUGUCUCUCUUACGUAAUUUGCAAGCUAUAACAUAAAACUGAAGGUUUUACUCUGCGUCAACAAAAUAGCGGUUGCGGAUUUUUCACUCUUCUCAUAAUUUUUUUAAUAUAAAAAUACACAUUAUGCAUUUAUUACUAGUUCAUAAAUUAUAAUUUAUGUUUUUUUCAUGUUAUUAUUAUCACCUAAUCUUCAUUAAAGAGUAUCCAUUGAUUAUCCUAGUGGGUCCCACAGGAGUAAUCUCAGCCGUUAAAAUAAAGCUGGAGCAGGUGAUUUUAGAGCCCCUGUGCCUAUUUAUAAAUUGAGAGUUUCACACCUCCGCAAAACAGAAGAGGAGAGAAGCUCUGAUGGACAGUAACGGCGUCGUUAGCUUUCACCACCGGCGAUCGCCGUCCUCCGAUCGAUUUCUCGGCGUAUUCUCUCCACCACAGAGUGAUAGUGCUAUCGGCGAUGCAGAUGUAUCCAUCGCUGAUGAUGAGCUGAACGAAGAUGAAGUUUUCUGGAUAGGAGACUUCACUGAACCUAAGCGCCGCUCUACUUCUCCUUCUUCAAUCAGUAGUCGGAAAACUUUCCUUCAGCCGGAGAAAUUCGGUAUUCUCGCUGCAUUGCCUGAGGAUCACCGGAAACUUAACCGUCCUGUUGUUUAUCGGAAACCUUCGAUAACUUCCUCACCUACUAGUACAAAACUGUUUCAUUCACCGCCGGUUGCAUCAGCGAUGGCUUUUUCUCGAGGGUUUCCUACGAUUCCCAAACCUCCAUUGGAUAGAGAACAUAGCUAU